CAGAUUGUUGAACCUGAAUUCUUUGUUAAGUUGUUUAAUUAUGUUUGAUGUGAAGGUUGAAGAUUAUGUAUGAUUAAUGAUGUAAUCUGGCCACAUGUACUAUAAAAUAGGCGGUGACAUUAUCAUGGAUAUAAACAAAUAGCAGCGACAUUGAUCCGAAAUAUGUUGUUUAAAAUUCAAUUUUACUAGUUGAUAUCGCAAGCUGUAAUUAAAAUCAUGUACGCCGUGAUUGUUUGAGUCCGUAAAUAGACUUUUUUAGGUGACAUACUUGCUGCAAAUGUGCUUUGUCAUGAUAACCGGGUCGGGGGUUAAUACAUAAACACUUGUUCCGCUGAUGGUCGCUGAUUUCACAUCCAUACCGCUGGCAAAAAAAACCUCCGGCCUUUCUCGAAAUAUUUCCUGUAUCAUCCAGUUUAAUUUUGUAAAUCCACUGUAAGUAUAUUUUGACUUGAUGAUUUUGGAAUUAACCAAUUGAUUUUCAAGUCUGAUUAAGCUCUAGAGCUCGUAUAUAUCUGGUCCGUCCUCCAUUGUUUUAGCCCAAGUUAGGAUCGUUGGUUCUUGGUCCGAAUAAAAUUUCUUGGAACUACCGGUAAUACUUGUACAGAGAGAAUACAUAUUUUGGAUUUGGGUGAAACAUACCAUUCUUUGCCCGAGUGUGCGUUCAUUGUAUGUGAUUGUAUAUAUACUGUUGAGAUUGUAUCAGAUAUUGGCGGCUCCCUUGAAAUUCCGUUGGAGUCGUAAAUUGAGUCGCUUGAUCGAGAUUGGUAUCUUUAUUUGUAUCGUCACAUGCGGUGGUUCUGUUGGAGGAAUAUUAUAUAAUCAACUAUCA
This 829-nucleotide long non-coding RNA is filed under the name Zostera marina. RNAcentral's name for it is "long non-coding RNA (ZMAR_LNC004409)". The record is from RNAcentral. Lineage: Eukaryota; Viridiplantae; Streptophyta; Magnoliopsida; Alismatales; Zosteraceae.